Molecule: ribosomal RNA, 2537 nt
Organism: Gossypium raimondii (Peruvian cotton)
Lineage: Eukaryota; Viridiplantae; Streptophyta; Magnoliopsida; Malvales; Malvaceae
Rfam family: Bacterial large subunit ribosomal RNA
Source: Rfam
UCAAAAAGAAUGCAUUGGAUGGAUGAUCGGGCAUUAAGAAGGAAGGACGCUUUCAGAGGCGAAAGGCCAUAGGGAGAUACCGUCUGUGAUCCAUGGAUCUCCGAUCGGGAAACCGUAUCCAAGCUCUGUGGCUAGUCUACGCCCUUUGGACUUUUAAAACUUAGCAAACAGAAACAUCUGAAUAGCUAAAUGAAGGAAAAUCAACCGAGACCCCAUUAGUAGCGGUGAACGAGAGCGAAUUAGGGGUUUAAAGAAAAGCAAACACGAAGCUUCGUUCCUCAGCAAAGUGUUCACUUCUUUUUCGCCAAGUUUCAUUCGAUUUGUUAUGGAUUGGAUGAUGGAAAAACCAACAAGCCCCUUGAUUUUCUAUUUAGUAAAGGGCGUAGUGAACUGUAAUUGUGAAAAGGUUGGAAGAUCAGGCCAAAGAAGGUUAUAGCCCUGUAGAUUCGUUCCCAUGGUUCGAUCCUUCCCAGUAAAACACGGUGCGUUCAAAUUCUAAUCGCUUUUACGCGAGAAAGGGGGACCACCCUCUAAGCCUAAGUAUUCCCCAAUGACCGAUAGCGUACAAGUACCGUGAGGGAAAGCUGAAAAGAACCCUAUUUAGGGAGUGCAAUAGAGAACCUGAGAUUCGAUGCGAACAAUCAGUCAAAGGAGCGAAACUUAGAGCCUUUACUUGAUAUUAGUAUAGCGCACUUACUCUAACAGCGUACCUUUUGCAUGAUGGGUCAGUGAGGAAAUGGGAACAGCGGCUUAAGCCAUUAGGUGUAGGCGCUUUCCAAAGGUGGAAUCUUCUAGUUCUUCCUAUUUGACCUAAAACCGAUCGAUCUAGCCAUGAGCAGGUUGAAGAGAGCUAUAACAGGCCUUGGAGGACCGAACCCACAUAUGUGGCAAAAUAUGGGGAUGACUUGUGGCUAGGGGUGAAAGGCCAACCAAGAUCGGAUAUAGCUAGUUUUUCGCGAAAUCUAUUUCAGUAGAGCGUAUGAUGUUGAUGGCCUGAGGUAGAGCACUCAAUGGGCUAGGGUGGCCCCAUUUCACCUUAGCCAACCCAGGAAAACUCCGAAUACAAGCCUAGAUCAUUUGUACAGACAAACUUUUAGGGUAAUAAGAUCCAAAGUCGAGAGGGAAACAGCCCAGAUCGUAUGCUAAGUUCCCUAAGCAAUCACUUAGUGGAAAAGGAAGUGAUCGAGCAAUGACAACCAGGAGGUGGGCUUAGAAGCAGCCAUCCUUUGAAAAAAGUGUAAUAGCUCACUGGUCUAGCUCCAUGGCACCGAAAAUGUAUCAGGCCUCAAGUGAUUCACCGAAGCGACGAGACCUUGAAAGCUACUUUUUCAAGUGUCAAUAGCGGAACGUUCUAUCAAUCGGGGAAGGUUUUUGGUGACAACACCUGGAGAUAUCAGAAGUGAGAAUGCUGAAAUGAGUAACGAGAAAUCCUGUGAAAAAUACGAUCGCCUGCCAGUGGAAAACUUUCUACGUUCAUUCAAUCUACGAAGAGUGAAUCGAUCCCUAAGGAACCCCUGAAAGGGCUGUCGUCUAAUGGGUACACGAAAGUGACGAAGUUGCUUUGACUACAGAACCAUGGCUGUCUGUUGGAGUGAAUUGGAUGAUCAGGCCAAGGGCUGCCCCCUCUUCCCCUCACUCUCAUUUCCCUAAUAUGAACCUUGAGUCAUCAAAGCCUUUCUAACUCGGCCUGGCCUGGUUACCCAACGUGACAGGCGCUUCAAAAGGUGAAACUCUCGUCGUAUUUUGGUGACCUGGGCGGACACUUUUUGUUAACUAAAGGUGAAGACUCUGAAGUGGGCGAACACUCGGCCCCGCGGGUGAACAUGCUGGGCUCCAGCUCCGCGGACCUACUGACACCUUUCAAAGCACUUUUUAGUGUGCGCUUUAGUUUUUGAAUGUGUCGUUCAGCAUCACAAGUCUACAAGCAUUUCUCAUUUUAGUGCUCACCUUUUGAAUCUUCAAUAGAGGCCUUUAGUCUUUUGAUUAGAGUAGGGGUCGCGAGAGAGCAGAGCGUACCGCCCUGCCAUAGUCGCGACUCUUUUUAUAGUCGCGACUGUUGUCAUAGUCAACAAGGUUGAAACUUCUAGGAAAAAACUUCGAAUUGGGAGGGCGAUCCUCCCGGUGAACUGACCGUACCCCAAACCGACACAGGUGAACAAGUAGAGUAUACUAGGUCGCUUGAAAGAACCAUGUCGAAGGAACUCGGCAAAAUGACCUCGUAACCUCGGGAGAAGGGGUACUCUCCUAUCUUUUGAUUAGGAAAGAGGCACAUACCAGGGGGUAGCGACUGUUUAUUAAAAACACAGGACUCUGCUAAGUGGUAACACGAUGUGUAGAGUCUAACACCUGCCCAGUGCUGGAAAGUCAAAAGGAGAAGUGUUAUAAGCUUAGAAUGGAAACCCUAGUAAACGGAGGCAGUAACUCUAACUGUCCUAAGGUAGCGAAAUUCCUUGUCACAUAAGUAGCGACCUGCACGAAUGGUGUAAUGACUGCUCCACAGAACUUUCUCGAUUCCAACGCAACUUAUCCUUUUGAAG